Long non-coding RNA from Anolis sagrei ordinatus, 900 nucleotides. RefSeq lists it as uncharacterized. The record is from RefSeq and is a predicted model, not a curated record. Lineage: Eukaryota; Metazoa; Chordata; Lepidosauria; Squamata; Anolidae.
CCUCUGUCCUCCUCCUUUGCACCAGGGAGAGAGAGAGAGAGAGAGACCCCGCUGGAAGUAAGGAGGAGGGGGUUGGGAGGAGGAGGAGAGAAAGGAAGACAAGAUGAGGAGGGGAAGAAGUUUUGCAAAGGAGUGGAAACGCAGAGACUGGCCAGCAAAGUCUCAAGGCGGGGGACAUGCCCACUGUUGAAUUCACACCACUUGGCUCAGUGCUAUGGAACACUAGGAUUUGUAGUUGGUUGAGGUCCCAGCACUCAGUCUUUGGCAAUGAAAGCUGUGAACCUUGUAAAGCUACAACUCUCAAGAUUCCAUAGUAUUGAGCCAUAUCACUUAAAGUGGCGCCAAGCUGCAGUAAUGCAAUGGUGAAGGGGACAAGGAGCCUGAGUUCAUUUGGAUAAUGGAGAAAGUUGUUCAUUUGCCAUUGGGAGGGAUGAUGGUCAGAGAAAUUGGCAUAUCCUUGCUCUUUGGAGGAAACCCAAAAUACCUUAUCCUCAGAGAAGGGUCUGUUGAAACUUGAGAAGAAGCAGGAAAGAUGAAUCAGUCCCCAAGGAUCUCAGAAGGAAGGGCAGUAUAGAGACUGACCAGAUAAGAAAUGGUGUGGGAAUGUGAAGAAAUCUAACUCUCUAUUGACUCCAUACAAAGGAGAAAUUAUCCAUGAAAUCUGGGGAAUUCAAGCAGAGAUCCAGUAACUCUACCAAGGUGGAACAUUCCAGCAUGAGUCUUUCUAACUUCAGAGUAAGACCAUCGUGUUUCAUCCAUGCUCUGAAAGCUUCCCUUUACUGUGGUAAUAUGUCAACAGAAUGGUUUCUACACUACAUUACAAUGCUACAACAUCUUGAUUUUUUUUAGAAUUACAGUGUAUAGUACCAUGUGUUUUGAAAAUAAAGUUUCACAUCUAGA